GCGGGCCCCACAGUGGGUACCCGGGGAGCGCUGCUCCCCGCGGUGUCCGCGGGCUGCAGGGGGAUGACCCGCUCCUCCGUGGGCCUCUCCUGGGUUGCAGGGAGCUGCUGCUACGUGCCUCCUGCCGCUCUGACCUCGGAGCCUGCAGGGCCGUUCCUCGCACAUUUCUCACCCCCGUCUCCCAACUGCGGCUGCACGGCAGUUUCCAUUCAAUAACUGCGCUCUCCCAGCGUUGCUCACGGCUCAGCUCCUGGGCCCUGCUCACACAGGCCUCCCCAGCUAUGAAUACCUUGCCACGUUUUGCUUUCCAUGGAAUCACAGAAUUGCAAAAGUUGAAAGGGACCUCCAGAGAUCAUCAAGUCCAAUCCUGCUGCAAAGCAGGCCCCCUACAGCAGACUAGGUCCCCUAUACAUGUAGGCGUCCAGGCAGGUCUUGAUUAUCUCCAGAGAAGGAGAAUCUACAACCUCCCUGGGCAGCCUGUUCCAGUUCUCCAUCACCCUUAGUGUGAAGAAGUCCUUUGCAUAUUGGUGUAGAACUUCCUAUGCUCCAGUUUAUGGCCAUUUCUCCUCGUCACAGACCGCUGAAAACUGGUUUGUCAUGUUGCUUUGACUCCCACACUUAAGAUAUUU
Long non-coding RNA from Gallus gallus (chicken), 629 nucleotides. The record is from Ensembl. Lineage: Eukaryota; Metazoa; Chordata; Aves; Galliformes; Phasianidae.